This 38361-nucleotide long non-coding RNA is filed under the name Eucalyptus grandis. RNAcentral describes it as "long non-coding RNA (EGRA_LNC004551)". Lineage: Eukaryota; Viridiplantae; Streptophyta; Magnoliopsida; Myrtales; Myrtaceae. The record is from RNAcentral.
AUCGGAGCUCUAUCAGUGAAGCUUACACCGGAAGAGAUGGCGGAGCUCGAAUCGAUUGCUUCUGCAGACAAUGUCAAGGGUGGCAGGUACGAUGGAAACCUCUCUACAUGGGAAAACUCCGACACUCCACCCCUUUCUUCUUGGAAACCUGCCUAGAAACAUGUCUACUUCUUUUGCUGCGUCUUUGAUAUGCAGAGUUUGUGCAUUUGCCGCUGAAGUAAUUUGAGGCUAUGUUGUGUGGCUUUUAUAAGUAUGUGUAAUAAGAGUGACUGUUUUCGUUUUGUACAACAUGUGACAUUCACUAUGAGAAGAUUAUGGAUAUGUACUAAGCUUACUGGGGAAAGAUCACUCGAUAAACACAAGAGCGAGUUGAAUAUGAACUGAGCCUGCCAUGCCGACUUUAUCGGGGUGACUUUUAGAAUCUGAGAAAUCGGGAUUUUGAAGAAUUCAAACUCAGUCGUACAUACUAAGUGACGCUUUAUUCUCCUCCAACCAUGAGUUCAAUACUAACACCGUGUGCAACAUACUCUUAAGACUGGAUGCUACACAUAGAUACAAUGCUUCGCUUUGUGUUUGGUUUGGUAGCGAAGUAAAGGAACAGUAAAAUGUUACCGGAUGUUCUCGCAAAAACAAAGUUUGGGAUAAAAUGCUGGCGUAGUUGAUAUGAGUGUCGGGGAAAUCAAAGGUUUCUUGUUCAAGUUUCACCACCUACGGUGCAUGAGCUUUUAUGUAGCUCGAUACCUUUGCUCAUGCCUCUGCAUUAUUAUAAAACAGUCGGAGAUAUUGCGCAAGUUUCCUAAAAUUAAAAACGACACUUCUAUUGUUUUUUAUUUGGAAUUAGAGUGGAGCAAUGUUGUUUUGUUUUGGUUUAGGAAAAUAACGCAAAUAGUCAUUAAACUUUGGUCCAAUGUGUUAUGUUCUUACUGAACUUUUAAUUUAUUUAGUAUGGUUGUCGAACUUUUUGUACAUGUUUAAUUUAGAUCCUAGGCUAGAUAAAUCUAAUGACGCUGUGUUUGGUCGUUCGAACAUCUUUGCUAUAUGGGAUAAUGAUAGGAUAAAAAUCCCAUCUAAUAUUUCUUGACGUCCGGAUAUAACAUGAUUCAAAUAAAACAAAUUUAAAUGAGUGUUUGAUUUGUAUAAUUAAAAUUAAAAGUAAACCAUGGAAGUCGUGAAUAGUAUUCAUCCUUUCACAAUCUUCAUCGAUAUUAAACACCCCCGUUCCAUGUGACUUCAAGGACGCUCUCCUUCUGCAACGCCCCUUUCGCUGCCCUUGAUCAACUUGAUGGAUUACGCUCGCUCUACCUUUGACUUCGCCACAUUGAGAGGCCCUUGGGUUUGAGUUCUCCGCUGGUCUAGCCAUCUUUACUUUCAACGCCUUUUCCUGCGAUGAAUCCAUCCCCUUCGAUGAGUGUGAAUACUGCGUUGAUUCCCUGUUACCGUGUCCCGACUUGUUCAGUCACUUCAACAGCUUCCCCGAGACAGCGUGCGGAUCCGGUUUAUGAGUGGUAGCAGCAUCGGUACAACUCGCUCCAAGUGACGUGGUUGAGGAGCUCUAUCACCUUGGCUGCUGCCUCUUUCGGAUCAUCUUCUUCACAGAGGAGGUGUCCAGCUUUGAUCGGGAUCACAAAGUUCCCAACUAAAAUGGAGUUAAGUGACAUAAGAAAGAGGCAGGGCUGACGAGCUCCGGCGCCACUUUUCCGAGGCAGCCAAAGGUGGUAAGCAGCUUGUCACUGGUAGGAGGAACGGUGGCCCUUAGAGUUUGCUCAGGUCGUUGUGGCGAGGGCUUCUCUAGGUAUCUUCGUGAUACUCAUGCUUUAAGUUUGUGGUGGUCAUUUUAGCGAGAAAAAUCGGAACGAGAGAGAGAUGAUGGUGGCACUGGUAAAAAAUGAGGAUAAGCCAUCAACAAGCGCAGGAGUGGGGGAAAAACUUGUAUCCCUUAUUUUUUCAAUUUUCCAAAUUUCACAUAUCCUAUCUAGAUCUAUAUCACUUUUUAGAUGGGAUUUUUUAUCCAGACUAUAUCUAAAUUUCACUAACAUCGGGACCCCUAGAGUGCCAAAAGUUUGCACAAAAAGACAAUUAAGUGUCAAAAGUUAUGAAAAUGACACUUAAGUGCUAAAAUUGGAAUAAAAUAGAUCACUUAAGUGCAAAUCUGGUCAAAAUAUUGACAUGACAAUUUUCCAGCAAAACAAGUGCAAAACGGUGUCGUUUUGGUGCUGACAUGGAAAAAAUUAAUACAAAAAUUAAUUAAAUGAAAUUUAAAAUUAAAUUUAAUUAAAACAUUUAAAAAUAAAAAUACAAAAAUUUUAAAAAAGGAGAGAGGCGGUUGAGGGCUGAGCCCUUGUCGCUAGGAAGGGUCGGAGAUGGAGGGGGGAGGGUUAGCCGGGGUUGCCGGGCCCUAGGCCAGGGGCCGGCGACCUCGGCCAACUGGUGGCAAGGGCCCGCGAGCCCUCGCCUAGUUUUGGGGCGAGGGUUGCGGCCCUCACCUAGUUGAGCCAAGGGCCGCCGAUCCUCGCAGAAUCUGGGUGAGGGCUGCAACCCUUACUAGAUUUGGGCAAGGGCUCGUGAGCCCUCGCUGCCGGUUAGUUGGGGUCGCUGGCCCCUAGCUAGGGCUCAGCGACCAUGGUUGACCCUCCCCCCUCCGUCGUUGACCCUUCACGGUGACGACAGCGAUGGCUCAACCCUUAGCUACCUCCCCUCCCCCCCUCUUUGUCUCUCUGUCUCUGUCUCUCUCUGUCUAUAUAUAUAAAUAUUUAUGAUUUUUUAAUACUUGUAUUUGUAUUUUUAAAUGUUUUAAAUAAAUUUAAUUUUACAUUUAAUUUAAUUUACAUUAUUUUUUUACCAUAUUAACACCAAAACGACGUCAUUUUUGCAUUGUCUAGCUACGACAGUGUGCAAAAUGAUGCCGUUUUGCACUUACUUCGCCAGAAAUUGCGUACAUCAGAGCCAUGAUUUCGUUUGUAAUAAUAUCCGUUCCAUAUGCUUAAUAGGUGAAUCCAAUGCUGAGAAGGUUUCUUCACAUCAUGACAGAUCUAGAAAUACUAGAAGCAUCUGUUUCUCUUACUGCAUCUCCAUCUUUUUCAACCCCUUCAGAUUUUCAUGUUUUAAAUGCUUCUAAGAUAUACUAUCUCUAUGAAAUCUCUCUUAGCGAUGAAACCAAAAUCUCUGAAACUUAACUUUCCCUGAUGAACUCAUAUUUUGCUUUUGCUAAACCCACCUCAUCCUUUUCUCCCAUUCGUUCCAUUCGCCAACUUAUUCGCCAAACUCCAAAGGAAGUAAAUGAGUACGUUAAGUCCUUCAAGUUCGACCAACAUCCCAUUCUCGCCAUUGAAAAUGAGUACUUUGUUACUCUCUAGAUUCCUCCAGAGUUUCCUAGGCAAUAGAUUCAAAAAGGAUAGUCUCAUGUCCAUUAUGGAGUUGUUCGUCUUGCUCUUACUUUUUAUGGCCGCAAGGGCUUGCCAGUUGUGGCAAGAAUAGCAUUACUGGAUACUAGAUUUCUAAAGUACUAGUAUACUUGUAUCAGUACUAUCCAAACCACUUUAAAUGUUGGAAUAGUUUUUGUGACUUUGUAUCCAAAUUUCAAUUUGCUCUUUCAAAUCCACAGUUACUUUCCUUUUUGAAAGUCUAAGUUUAGCUCACUGGAGCACCUCAGACAGCUGAUUCUGUUGUUGCAACACUACACUACUAGAUCGUUUAUUAAGUGCAGAACCAUGCUCUUGACUUGAAUUUCCACAAUGAAAAUGAAGAUGCUUUAUUCAUCUCCAUGCAAAAUGAUCAUGCAUCCUGCAUUCAUGUUCCCAGACAUAUCCCAAAGGAAAAGUUGCCAAGCUUCUUCUAGAGACUUGGAUCACUAACUAUGAAAAGUUACAUCAGAAUAACAAACCUUUCUAGUCUUCAGACUUUGAAUUUGUCAGAAAGAAAGAUGGAACUGUUUCCAUCAAAUUUGGCAAGGAAAAUAAAGAAAUUCUUUUUAUCUUCCAAAUCCUCUUUAUGAUCGAACCAUGUGUUCCGAGCUAGAUAAAAAAAAAAGAAGCUUGUUUAAUACUUCAAAAGUGAUUAACAUCAUGUCCAUUACUACAAAGACUAGUAUGGUCACUGUUUCUAAGAUCCUUUUUGUCAAUGUUCUUUUUGCACAAACUCUCCCGACGAGGUAGACCCAUAUGCAAGACCUCGACGGAAGCAUAAGAAGCCAAAAGAUCCUAUGUACCAAAGGUACUUGAAUGGAGAUCCCUCCGUUGAUACUCUUGGUGAGUGUGAUAAAUUCUAGUUUAUGGUUUCCUAUACACCAACUCCACCACCAGAGUUCAUUACUCCACUAAUAUCACCAAGUUCAUCACCAUCACCUCCUCCAUCUCCUCCAAAAAAAAAAGAAAACCAACUCUUUCCCCAUUUUAUAAGCCAAUCUUAAAGUGGGCGAAUAAAUAUUCCUACCCACUUGAGGCUCUAGCAGAACACCACCAAGUUCUUUCAUAGCCAUGUUCCAUGAGACAUACUUUCCUCUUUUUAUUCGAGAAAGUUAUAAUCUCGUUUCCUGCUCCAAAAGAAUUCAUUGAUCUACAAGGCAGAUAUCGGCAUGCCCCUAAGAUACCUACCCCCACUGAUGUGGAUGGACAUGGAAGAUAGAAAAGGACUCCUGUUGUUGAAGCUGUCCUAAAUUGGCAAUCGGAAACUCUUUUAGCAUAUAACAAUGCGUUCAAAGCAAUUGAUUCCAAGAUUGUAAAUGUGCAACAAGAUUUUCGAAAUAUGAUGAAACCACCAAGAAGAUGCUUUCAGAUUUCCAAAAGAGGCUUCAUGCCUUGGAAUCUAGAUAACAUUUAGGGUGUCAUCAUCUCGAAAGUCCUAAGGUGGAAAUAGAGAAGCUCAAAAGGCAAAUUCAACUCCUUGAAGAAGGAAGAUUCAAUCCAUUUCCGACUACUUUGCGGACAGAGCAUCCCCCUCUUCCACUAGCCCAUAACACAUCUAUCUUUGUUGCUAUCACAGAUGUUCUUGUUAGGCAAGAUAAGACAAAUGUGGCUGAAAUGCGAAAUCUUCUCAAAGAACUGGACUGAAUAAGAAAAGAAAAGGGAAAAGAGAAGAUGCCUAAAGAAUCCUUGCUUGUCAUAAGGAAAAAGCCAGAUCAAUUGAUGCUGUCGAAUCUAUUAGAAUCUUUCCGAAGAGAUUUGGGUAAUCAGGAAUCACAGUCUGAUCUUGUUACUCAACAUCUUGAUCCCGUCAUUCCAACAGAUCAGAUUCUAUUUUCAGCAGAACUAGCUUUUCCAAAUAUCUUUGAUACUGAAUUAAAUUCGGUAUCCCUCUUGUCCUCCUCAUCCUUCUCAAUCCCUACCAUUGAUUCCUUCCCUAUUGUACUAGUAAUUUCAUCAAUAUUCAUGAUCGAUCAUCCGGACCAAGAUAUGGAAUCAAACCAUUCUGAACCAAAGGUUGUUUAGCCAAACAAUCCCUCCCAGCACGUGUAUUUUGCAUCAAAAUAGUUUAUUUAUUUAUUUAUUUAUCGUUGAUGACAUUCCCUAUCACAAAUGGCCAUAAAGACUUGAAGAAUUUCAUACUUGGUUAAAUACCCAAACCCUUACCAACCAGGAUAAGUAUGAUGUCAUUUUUGAUUUUGUCACAAGGUUUACAGGUAGCCUCAAAUAUUGGUGGCAAUCUGUGUUAGAACAAGACCGGCUUCAAUUUUUACUCUCACUUGAUUUUGGUCAUGCCAUUAUCCUUCUAUAUCAUUUCUUUGUGGGAAAACCUUUUGACCUCCAAGAGCUUAAAAGGAGAGAAUUUUUCGAAAGAAGAUGCUGCUUCUUCCAGAAAAAAACAUCUUGAUAAAUAUUAUCGAGAAAUGUUUAAGCUCUUCUAUGGUAUUGGAGCUGAUCCAAACCAGAAACGCAUCUUCUUGACUUCCAUCCCCAAAGAAUUGUCUCAAUAGGUGGAGAGAACUUUUCUCAGCAAACAAAGAAGGAUUCAGGAUAUUCCGUUAGGAGAAAUCUAACAAGAAAUUCAUUUGUGCCUUGAAGAAUUGUGUAUCAAAUGCCAAAUGAUCCAGACUUAUGUCGACAAUAACAGAGAACUUGAUAUAGCAUGUUCUCGCCAUAAGCUAAAGAUCAAAUGUUCAAAGCGAGAUUGUGAUGGUUCUUGCGGAAAAUUUUCCAGAAAAAAGCACUUCAAGAAGCUCUGGAUAAUGAAAUCUAGGCGUGGCUCUAAGCAUUUUUGAAGAAAGAAGAAAUGGCGACACCUAUGCAAAAGGAAAGAUCACUCAGGCCACAAGAAGUCAAAUCAAUGCUUCAUCUGCAAUUAGAAAAGACAUUUUGCCAAAAAUUAUCCCCAAGCGAGAAAAUGUCAAAAUCAUAUGAUAUAUCAUAUAGAGAAUGAAACAGGUAAUUCUCUUGAAAAUGAUAAUAUCGAAUCUUUAUUAUCUGAGAAUGAAGAACCAUCUGAAUAAACUCUUUGUGUCAUUCCUUGUUACGAAACUUCUAGUGAAAUUGAUUCGGAUUCAAAUCCUGAAGAUAUUUUUCACAUAUCUCUCACUUCUUCAGAAUAAAGCACUAACAUAUUUUCAAGCUAAAUUCAUUGUCCCCAUUUCCCUGUGAAAAUCUUCACUUCAAAGUUUGCCAAGCCUUUCAUUGUCAUUGCUCUCAUAGAUACUGGAGCAAGUUCUUCAAUCUUGGACACCAAAGUUAUUCUUGAAGAAUAUUGGACUUCCUAUGUUUGAUACUUCAAUUCUACCUCAGGAGAUACUUUUUCUACGAAUGUAAGAACUACCCUAGUAAUCAUCUAAUUUUUUCCACAGUGUUCCAUAACCAUAAAAAUCUCUGGUUCCAGUCUUCCCCACAAGGAUUUGAUCAUUGGCUGGGAUAUCAUGACUAAAAUUUCUCAACUUCGUAUCAUUUCUAGAAAAUGUCUUAAGUAUAAGGACUAAUUUUCUAAAUUCGUCAAUAUCCAAAGACUUUUUUUCCAUCCAAAUGAGCCUGCUAGACCCCAUCAUGCAAAAGUUGUUAAAAUCAUGUUUGGAAUUUCAUUUUGAAUUUGCUCAAAAAUGUUCUCACCCUCUAUGGGAAAAUUUAGAGUUCUUUGUUUGCCUUCCUUUUUUAAAAAAAAAUGAGGAUAUCAAUCUAAACAAGGCGAGUUACAUGGGAAUGAAGUCAGAACACUUGGUUUUAACUCAAAGGGAAUGUUCGGAACUAUUGCAGCAAUGCCUUAUUGAAAUCUCCAAUUCUCAAUGGGCCUGUGAAGCUUUUUUAUGUCAAUAAGCGUGCCGAACAAAAUAGAGGAAAUAUGAGAAUGGUAAUUAACCAUCAGCCUCUUAACAUUUUUUUCCAAGAUGAUAAAUUCCCUUUACUCUCCAGAAAUUCCCUAUUUACUAGAUUAUCCAAAGCCCAUAUUUACUCUAAAUUCAAUCUCAAAGCCAGAUUUUGGCAAUUGUGCAUCCAUCCUAAAUACAGACCCAAGAUAGGGUUCUGUAUCAUGAACCAACAUUUCCAAAUGGAAAGUUAUUCAUUUUGGUCUAAAGGUGGUACUAUCCUUAUUCCAAAAGGUCAUGUGUCGAAUUUUCCAACUAAUUUUGUCAAGUGCAGUAAUAUACAUUGACGAUAUCGUGCUUUACAAUCUUAAUGAGCAGUCACACUGCCAACUUCUUAAACAGUUUGUAGAAAUUGUGUAAAAGCAUGGGAUCAUGCUUUCUCAAAAAAAGAUGAACAUUGUCCAUAUAUAAAUUGAAUUUCUUGGUAUGACCUUAACAAAGGUAUGUAUUAUCCAUGGCCAUAUAUUGCUCAUGAAUUGUUGAAAUUUCCUGAGGAAAAUUUCACAACAAAGCAAGUUCAGCAAUUUCUUGGAAUAAUUAAUUAUCUCAAAGAUUUCGUUCCAAACAUUGCAGAACUGUUGAUUCCAUUGAAAUUGAUGCUGAAAAAGAAUCCCCCACCUUGGAGAAAAUCUCAGACUAAAGCAGUCGUCGAACUUAAGGAGAUUAUGUAGACUCUUCCUCUGUUACAAAUCCCAUCGAUAAGGAAGAUAAUUCUCUAGAUCGGCGCCAGUGAUGAAUACUGGACAGCCAUCUUGUUUGAAGAAAUUGAUGGUAAGAGACAUCUGUGUACCUAGAAAAGUGGAAAAUUUUCCCAAGCUGAAAUGCAUUAUCAUUCCACUUUCAAAGAAAUCUUGGUGAUGAAAAAUGGAAUAAAAAAGUUCGAAUUCCAUCUCAUUGGCCAUCACUUCAUGGUAAAAUUGGAUAUCCUCAGAUGAUCAAGUUCAAACAGAAGCAGAUUUCGAAUUUUCAACUGCUUCAAUGGGCUGAAUGAUUUUCAAAAUACUCUUUUGAAACCAAACAUAUUGCCGGAAAAAAAAAUGUGCUUGCUGACUUCUUGUCAAGACCAAAAGCACCAGUAAAAAUCAACAUGUACAUCAUGAGGCAUGCUUUUCAUAUUCUUCAUAACAAUGAAAAGUAUAAGAUUGAAAGAAUACAAGACUAGUCAAGCUGGCAAUAUUACUAGGAGAUUGUGGAACAAAUCUAGAAUGACUGCCUUAUUGAAAAUUUGGAUAAUCUCAUGUGGCAAUUCCACACAGAUCUGUUUAGAUUUAAUGGGGGUUCGAUUCUUUAUCUUUUUAGAUUAAAUUCAGACUAUCCGUUCAUACAUCCUUUAAUCUGGAAGGAAGAUAAUUUCCCUGACCAACUUCGAUGGUUAUUAUGGUACUUAACCAAUAAGUACUGAAUAGUAUUGAAAUUCCAACUAGAAGAUUUAUUACCAACCUCACUAGGAUAUUUAGACUUGGCAGAUGAAACAUUGAAAAAGAGAGUGACAGAAAUCUCAUAGGUUUCCUUAAUUGGUUUUAUCCCUCUACUCACUGGAAAUACCUCUUGCAGAAAGAGCUGAGAACCACACAACUAAACCCUGAGGUCCAUAUUAUUUUGUUUUUUCGACGACCGUGGGCUUUUGUCACAAAUAAUGGUAGCAGUAGCAAUGCCCCCCAAAUUAUAGGUACCACAUCCUAUAAACCUCAACCACAUAGUGUAGAAGCUCAGAUUUACAAAUCUUAUUUAGAACCCGUUGGUUGCUACGAGCACCAGUAUCGAGAACUCCAAAGGAUUUUGUACUAGGAAAAUAAAAUCAUUCCUAAAGAUGCAUGGAACUAUAAUGUACCCACUGUAUGAGAUUAUUAUAGUCUCACACUAGAAGUUAAGGAAGCACUCGAAAUAUUCAGACAAGUUACAUCAUCACAGGAGCAUGAAAUGGCAGACACAGAUGACAUCGCACAGUCCUCUCAAGAUCCCUAUGUCAAAUGGGGAGGUCCUCUUUCUCAAGAUCCCUAUGACCAAGAAACUUUGUCCUUAUCUCAAAGCAUUGACACAUCCUACUAUACUCAGUCAUCCAAUUGGUCUCAGCUAAGCAUUCUUGCCAACACUACAGGCUCCUCUUAGAAUCAAGCGAAAGCAUCCUCGUCAAAUCAAAUUCUCUCACCAGAUUCACUUGUAGGACUUGAGAAAAAAAUAUGAAGAAUAGCUUAUGUCAAUGUAUAGUUCGGACGACUCAGACUAUGACUAUAAUGCUCGUGAUGGACGAGACUAUUGACCGUACAAGUCACUGUAGCAAGUCACUUUUCACUUUCAUUGUAGCAGUAGACUAGGGAAAUAACUGUUCAUUAUCAAUGUUCAUAUCGUGCGAAUAAUCUCCUAUGCCUUUAUUUGUUUCAAGAUUGUGAGAAUGAUCCUUGUUUAUGUGUGACCUCUUAUUGCCUAUAAAAGACAAGAAUGAUGUAAUGUGUUGGGCAGAGUCCCUUGAAGUAAAGUGAGUAUUUUGUGUAAAACUCUCUAUGGCUUUAUAAACUUAUCUUCUUCUCCAGUCUGGUAGGAUCAUUUGAGAAAUGUAGUUCGGAUAGUUAGAAAUGUUACCAUCCUGGUUCUAUAUGAGUGUUUCUAGACUCUGAACUAAAGGGAAGAGUGGUUUUAUGUUAAAAGGCUGUCUCUGAAGGGCUUGAACGGAAGAGGUUCACCUACUGUGGGGUAUGCCAACUUUUGGCACUUGAAAUAAUCUUUUGCCGAAUUUCACGUUACUCUAAACACCGGAUAUGAUCAAACUUUUACUAUCAAAGUUUUAUCUAGCCCAUCAAAGGCAGUCUUAUGAGAUAGGAUGCAAUGAUAUAAUCUAUGAAUUAGAUCAAACAUUUAUUAAAAGUUUAAGAACGAUAUUUCAUUUUUUGAAUGUUAGGAUGCACGAGUAAGUUAUGUUAAAACAAUCCCACAAUAUAUUGAUAGCUUUGAAAUAAGGCUUUCUCUUGGUGAUGACGAAGAUCCAUAUGGAGAAAUUAAUGGGAGGGUUUGUUUGGCCUAACUAAAUGAGAGGCUAUAUCAGUGGGAGGUUUUUCAUUGUAACCUUGUGCUUGGUAUUUGUAUUUUAGUAAAGGAUUUUGUUAGCAUAAUAGUUUCUGAGUUAUUGUGAGAAUAACAACUUAUUAUGAGUUACAAAAUUUUCUCUUUCUUUUUUUCUUCACUUCCUUCUCCUUCCUCCAACCAAUCAUCACUAGUGAUUGGCAAGAGGCAAGGUUGGUGAGGUACCUCGCUGGUCUCGAGGAAGCUUGACCAUGGUUAGGCAACCUUGCUCAUGGCUAGGCGACCUCGCCUAGGCCGCCAACUGGGCUGGUGAGGGUUGACCCUCGACGGCCAUGGGUGAGGACAAAUGCCGCUAGUUGGGCUUGCGAGGCUCGCCCUUAUUGAAUUUGGCGAGAGUUGAGUCUCAUUGGCCAUGGGUAAGGUCAAAGGCCGUGACCUCACGUGGUCUUUGGUGAGGCUUGCCAAAGGUUGGGCAAGGCUCACCGUCGUUGGACUGAUGAGGGUCGAGUCUCGUCGGCCAUGGGUGAGAUUGCAACUUGCCCAUGGCCGGCGAGGUGAGCCUAGGCCAAAGGCAGGCGAGACCUUGCCUAACCAUGGCGAGGGUGGCCUCACCAUUGUUGGGUGAGGCUCACCCUUGCUAGUGGUGUGUGGGGGUAAGCCUUGCCAUUGGUUGGCGAGGCUAACCUUGCUGGCUUGAGUAAAAUAAAAUAUUAUUAAAAGAUUAUCUACAUCAAUAUUAGUUGGACGAGCGGUGUUGGUCGGCCAAAAUUUCUGAAUGAAUUGAAUAGUAUAAUUGCAAAAUGUUUGGGAUUGAAUUGGCUAAAAAAAAAGGUCUAAGUUUGAAUUGGAAAAAUUACAAUAAGUUUAUGAUUGUUUUGGUACGUCCUCCCUAUAUGGGAAGGAUCGUGACUAUGCUUCAAUUGAUGUAAGCAAGUGCAUCUUCACAGCCACUACCGCUCCCCUCCUACUCUUUGUAGCUUAUGCUACUCCCCUCUUAUAAAUCUCGGCUCGCCUGACGCCUUCGCCAUUGUGUAGGGAACGAGCGAGCUCGAGCUAGACCACAGUAAUGGCGGCAUCGACAAUGACGAUAAGGAGGAUCAAGUUGGGGUUGCAGGGCCUGCAGGUGUCGGUGCAAGGGCUGGGCUGCAUGGGCAUGUCCGCCUUUUACGGGCCACCCAAGUCGGAGCCCGACAUGAUCGCCCUCAUCCACCAUGUCGUCGGCUCUGGCGUCACCUUCCUUGACACCUCCGACAGCUACGACCCCCACACCAAUGAAAUCCUCCUUGGAAAGAUCGGUUCUCUCAGUCUCUGUUUUGCCUUCGCAUGAACUAUAUGUGCUUAUAAUGUUACGGAAUGUAGCUUCAUCGAGCAGAGUGCUUUGAUCCUGCGCCUUGGUUUUCUGAUUUCGGGGUUGAUUUUGAGCAGGCACUAACGGGAGGGGUGAGGCAAAAGGUGGAAUUGGCGACCAAGUUCGGAAUCAGCUUCGCGGAUGAGAAGAAAGAGGUCCAGGGCGAUCCGGCAUACGUGAGGGCGGCUUGCAAUGCCAGCUUGAAGCGACUUGACAUCGAUUGCAUCAACCUCUACUACCAGCACCGUAUCGACACUCGCGUCCCCAUUGAAGUCACUAUAUGGAUCCCUUAUCAAACUUUCACCUCGCUUGAGACUUUCUCCGAGCCAUAUGAUUAGUUGCUAAAUUAGAUUGGUGUUGAUGAUGCAUCGUCAUGUUGUUACAAGUUUGUUGAAUUUUGUUAAAUGACACUUAAGUUCAGCUGAUAGCAAAGCUCAAGAUGCGGCACGGUGUUGUUCAGGGGUUGUGGAAUUUAGUAGUUUAAUGGCUUGAGUUUUCGUUUUGUGGGCAUCCUUUACAAGUUAAGGGUCAACAAGCAUGAAAAUCAUUCGAAAUCUUCCUUACCUUUGAGAUGAAAGUGCUCCGGGGUUCAUCCUGAUUUUUUUUUUUUUUGGUGGUGAAAGUAAGUAAUUGUAUUAAGCUUUGCCAACUAUACAAGAUGAAAUCUUGGCACCAAAACUUGCACUCAGAAUGACAUGACGUCAAUGCGAGUGGAAGGAUGCUGAGAUGAAAAAUAGCAAGCAAUAAACGGUGUUGACACCUAAAUUUUGGCGAUCCGAUUAUUUAUUUAUUACAUAAAAAUUAUGGGUCAAUUUGUCUCUUAAAAAAUAUUAAUUACAUAUAGAUUUAGGUGCAUUUAUUUUUAAUUUAAUUUUUUUGUAUUUUAUUGGAUCGAUGGUGGAUGGAUUCAAAUUAAUGGUUAUGAAUUUUAAAUUGACAAAUCGAACUAAGUUCACGAAUAUAAGAAAUUGGCGCAAGCCCGUAUUUGAAAAAAUUCUAUUGUAAUUUUUGAAAAAUCAAUAGAAAACAUUCAUUUUUGCAAAGGAAAUCAAGAAGAGCUGUGGAAAAUAAAAAGUGAUAUUACGUGCGGAAAAGAAAUCUUUGCAGAUGUUGAUUUAAAAAGGAAAUUAAAAUCCUAAUUUUUGGUCUAUAAAAAAGUAACUUAGUAUAGGGUUUUGGGGAGGCUACACAUGGAAUACACAGCCAGUGGAGGGCGAAAUUCGAAAAAAUUUGGAGAGCAAACGCGAGGGGGCUUUUUCCUUCGGUUGAUUGGAGUUGAGAAUUCAAGAAAAAAGAAGAAGAAAGAAUUCGUUUGUUUGUGAAAAAAGGCAGCAAAAGUGUGCAGAAAAAAAGGAAGAGACAGAGACGGGACAGGGAAGAGUGAUGUGAGAGAGAGACGUGGAGUAGAAUAAAAAAGAAAAAAGAAAGUAAAAACAGGGAAGACUGUUCAUCCUCGCAAGCGCCUCAACCGCUGUCGCCGAUCCCUUUCGCCCGCACCGGCCCGCGACCUGCAGCCGCCGCGCUCCGUCGCCGCCUCACCCGAGCCGCCGACCACCACCGCUCGCUGCUCACACUACCGCUGUCCCGAUCUGCCCGCUCGAGCGUCCCUACGCCGGCAGAUCUGAGCUGCUCGCCACUCCACCGCCGCGCGAGUUCCCGCACCGGUCCGCGCCUCCUCUGCUGCUCGUGCCGUGCCACCACCAGGGUUCCUCUCGCUCGCGAGCUCGCACCGCCGCCCCGCUGUGCUGAUCCGCGACGACCCGACGCUCCGCUGCUGCUGCUGCUGCACCUUCGCAGGUCACCCCACCAGCACCACCGUUCGUCGCCCUGGCUGUAGGCGCGACGACUCGACACCGCCUCUGCUCAGUCACUCCUUCACCCGCUCCUGCUGCAGCACCAGUCGCUGCAACCUCCGCCGUCGCUCUUGCAUCCGACCCGACGCCAGCAGCAACGAUCCAGAUCCGGCGCCUGCUGCAGCCACAGCCCGACGCCGCUCCUCUGCCCGCGACCCAAGACCGGACGCCCAGGUCCGACGCCCUGCAGCUCCCUCUCUGAGUGACUCCCGCGACUUCCCUCACCGGAGCAACCCACCACGUUGCUGCUUCGCUUGAAAAAAAGAAAAAGAAAAAGAAAACAAAAAAAGAAAAAUCAAUUUAGGUAAUUUUUCCUUUUAUUUAUCUAUCUUAUUUUAUUAUUUUUGUUAUUUAACUUUAUUUGUUCUUUUUCAGUAUAAUUAUUCCUUAGUGUAAGGAUGAGAUGUUCGACAUGAAAUAGCCUGUGAAAUUUGUGAUUGUCAGUCCGAUUUUCACGCCUAAAAUCCGACUUGCAAUCACUUAAAAAAAAUCGCUAAUCCGAUCUUCCGCCUAAGAUUCAAUUCGCGAUUUAUGUGAAAUUGACCAACUCGAUUUCAUGCGCGAGAUAUAAUUCGUCAAUUUGGAUAUCAUCUUGCUCCGAUUUGUUGUCGUGUCAUUUAAUUAAAUUUGCUUUCAUAAAAAAAAAAUGUAGGUUAGAAUUAGGUUUAUUCCCUAUUUUAGGGUUUACAUAUUUAAAAUAUGAAUUUUAUUUCGAAUUUUUUUUUAAAAAAUAAUAAUAAAUUAAAAAAUCAAAAAUCAAAUCAAUUAAUUUAGGUUGCUAGUUUUUUUUUUUUUUUUUUAAAACUUGGAUUGCAUGUUUAAUUGUUUGGCAAUUAUUAAUUUCGAAAUUAAUAAAACAAAAACGCAACAAAAAAUCAUCAUGCAUAUGUCAUAUAGAAUUAGGGCAUCUUUUGUAUGUCAUUGCAUAUUAGGGUAAAAUUGCUAAUAUUUUUCUUAAUUUAUUAUAAGUUUAGGUAUUUUCUUAGAUAGAUUGCAUUUUAGGAUUGCUUGGGUUAGGAUAAUAUUCUAAUUUAAAUUAGGAUUUGGCUUAACCUAAUUCCUAAUACAAAUUGAAUAGAAUCUUAAUCUAGUUAGAUAAUUUUCACAUUUAAUCUAAUUUCGAAUUUCAUGAAAAAUACAAAAAAAAAGUCUUAGAAUAAAUUGGUUUUAUUCUCUAGGAUAAAUUGCAUUCUCUUUAAGGAAAAAAGAAGAAAAAUAUCAUGUGCAUGCCAUAUAAGAUUAGACUCAUGAGAUGCAUACCAUUUAGUGAUUGUUGCUAGUCCAUUUAAUUAGAAAUUGCAUAUCAUUAGAAUUAGGUCAUUUAGUUAUAUUGCAUUGCAUAUUAUAUGAUUUUCAUUAAAUAAGUGAAAAUAAAGAAAUUGCGUAUUGAUUAGAAAUUAUAUUUAAAACCGUCGAUGUGAAUUUUGAUAUAACAUUGUAGAUGCUUUCGUUGCUAUGAAAUGACUAUUACAAUUUAUUCAUUAUUUAUCUGGGUGUUAAAUUGGUGGUUUGCGCACUCAUAUGAUCACUUCAUAUGUUAAAAAAAUAGAUUUAAAAUCAAUCCAAAUUGCAUGUAAAAACAUUUUUGAAAAUAAAAAGAAGUGGUACCGAAAGGGUAUUAGAGAAUCUAGCAUAAUUAAGUCUCUGAACUCAUAAAUCUCUAAUUCGUAGGAGUGAAGUAAAUCUCCCGUUACUUUAUUUGAAGAUUAAUGGCGACUCCUAACUGAAAUAUCGUUUGUAUGUUAAGAACUUAAACCCAAGUUGCAAAUUGGUAUGGCUUGGGAGAGCUUGAGUUAGGUCUAGGCUUAACAAUUCAUUAGCCAAACCUUAGGUGAUACACACCUGAAAAUUUGGUCGCGACAAAUGGUAACAGCCACCACACAGCAAAGAAGAGCCAAACAACGGCCACCACUAGCAACCAAAGCAAAAAACAAAAGGCAACCGAGGGAUCAAACAGACGCAGCCAGAUCACCCCAAGCACCAAACCAAAAAGGGAAAGGCACAGUUCAAGCGUCCCAGUUGAGAGAAGCCGUGACCGACACGAACCAGGGGAGGAGGAAUCUUCAGUGAAACAGCCAACCCCAAGGACCUCGGCGGUAGCUCAGCACAAGAAUGUCCACCCUAGAAGGGUAUCCAGUUAGAAGGAGAUGGAUGAUGGAACAACCAUUCUCAAGGAUCGAACUCGCCGCUGAAAUAGCAGCUACAUGGAAAUCAGCUUCGUAGAUUUGAUCAAGAAUCACCUAAAGAGAAAACAAUCGGAUCAAUGCCCCAGGCACGCUGGAGUAUCCUGUUCCUCGCGGUACUAUCGACAUUUCUGAAAGUUAGAGCCUUAUCCCGGACAACCCUAAGGAGAUGGUUCUUCAGGGCCGGGAUCGUAGGAGUUAGCUCUCUAAACAAAAUAUCAUUCCUGUUCUUUCAUAUAAUGUGACAGAGGGCUCCAAGGGGUUCAUCCUGAAUUUAUAUACAGGAAUCACAGAUAAAGUUGUUCCUGGACUUUAUGCGGAGACAUUUGAUUCUUGACAUAUUGUGAAAUAUGACAAGUACUUGGAAUACUUCUUUUAUUUGCUCUCUUCUGUGAGAGAUUCAGGAAAUCUACCUCCGUUAACUCAAUACCUUGUGACUUUUUUGUUGCAUUGUGAUGCAUGAUAAUUGAGGGAUCUAGACACAUAAAAAGCUAAUGCCAUGCAUAAUUUUCUGGAUCUUAACAUGUAAGAUCUUUCGUCCAAAAAAAAAAAAAAACAUGUAAGAUCUUGAUUUUGUUGUUUUGUCAUGUGAAUAUGCAUAGAUCGGAGAGCUAAAGAAGCUCGUGGAAGAGGGUAAGAUAAAGUACAUCGGUUUAUCCGAGGCCUCUGCCUCAACAAUCAGAAGAGCACAUGCUGUUCAUCCCAUCACAGCGGUGCAAUUGGAGUGGUCGCUUUGGUCAAGAGAUGUGGAGGCAGAGAUCGUUCCAACGUGCAGGUAGGAUAUCACUCUGUUAAUUGUUUAUGCAGCAACAACAGCUUCCUUCUGACUCUGCUUUUCCUUUAAAAUGUUGACUAGGGAGCUUGGCAUUGGAAUUGUUGCCUACAGUCCUUUAGGACGAGGAUUCUUUUCUGUUGGCUCCAAGUUGGUGGAGAAUAUCUCUAAGGAUGACUUCAGACAGGUCUGUUCCUGCUUGUCAACAUAAUUAGAUGCCAGUAUCGGGCUUUGGCCCUCCGUCCUUUUUCAUUCUCAUCUUUCUUCACAAGAUAAACUAUAUCUUGACACAACCAUUUCUUGAGUAAGGACUCCUAGCACCCUUCUUAUGAGAGUUUUGGCUCAAGUUCCCAUCUGACAUAAAGCCAAUUGUGUAUUACUCCCCGCCAUUAGCGUUUGACUAGCGAUAGUGCUGGGCAAGUGAAGUAGCUAUUUUUUUUUUUUUGUAGCUAAAAGAGCUUUGCGUCUGAUAACGUUCUUCUACACAUCAUCUACAUUUCUGAUUUUUAUUUUAUGUGUGACUCAGGAAAAUGAUAAUUGCUCAUAUGCUCUCUGCUGAGACAUUGCUCUAUGUUAUGCAGUAUCUACCAAGGUUCCGGCCAGAGAACUUGGCUCACAACACGAAGUUAUUUGACCGAGUGAAUGGAAUUGCACAAAGAAAGGGAUGCACCACAUCGCAGUUAGCCCUCGCCUGGGUACACCACCAGGGUGAUGAUGUUUGCCUGAUUCCCGGCACGACCAAGAUCGAGAAUUUCAACUAGAACAUUGGAGCUCUGUCAGUGAAGCUUACACCGGAAGAGAUGGCCGAGCUUGAAUCGAUUGCUUCUGCAGACAGUGUCAAGGGUGGCAGGUACGAUGGAAGCAUGUCUACAUGGGAAAACUCCGACACUCCACCCCUUUCUUAAUAAAAUUAUGUGUUUUUCUAGUAAGGGAUGUUGCGAAAACUUUAUUGUCUUUUGCAUGCGUAAUUAUAACUAUGAGUGUAACUAUGCGUAAUUACAACAUGUGGCGUCACACAAUCCUCAGCACUUGAAUUGGGGUCUAUCAAGGUAGUGCUUGAGUCUAUGAUGCUCAAGCUCUAUUCAAUAGCACUUAGGCUCGGGUCCGCAAAGAUUGUGCAUCAGUCCUCAAUGCUUGAGGUCGGCUCGUUAGUUAAUAAAACGUUUGUUCUUAUAAAAAUAAUUAUUUUUAAAAAAUCUAUUUUUUUAUAUUAUUUGUUUUCUUUCUUUUUAUUUUCCUUCUUCUCGGCUAGUUGCCAACCAUGGCGCCGAUUGCGCCUGAUAACAAGCACCGGAUGAGCUAGCCCAAGGCCAAGAAGACUUGAGAUUGCUGAUUUGGCAAGCUUGAAGCUGGUCAAGUGCAAGCUCGAGUUUCGCCCCGUGGCUAGUCGCCAACUACCACCGUGGCUAGCGUUCGGUCGAGGAAGAAGAAAAAGAAAAAUAAGUAAAAAUCUGAAUAUUUUGUAAUCUUCUAUAGGGAAAUCAAAUAAGAUUUUUCAUAUUAAACGAUAAAAAAUAUUUUCUAGUUUAUUUUUAAGACUUAACCAAAUAUUGAAAAUGACUUUUUGUAAAAUAUUAUUCAAAUAUGUCAUAUUUUUUGCGAAACAAACGGUACAUAAAUUUAAAUUUGAUAAUUGUCCUUGUUAAUUUGGUACACAUUAUCUGUCUCUUUGUUUUGUUGCUGAACUGAUGCUAAUCUCUAGAUGAAGCUUGACUAGUUUCAAUAGGCGGCUUGACUUUUGCGCUUCCUUUUUUUUAAAACCCAAAACACUCAAAACUUUCGUGAUACACGACUUUCGACAUGCAGAGUUACAAUCACUUCAAAUAAUUUAUCUGAAAAUUGUAUAGUGGGCCAUCCGAGAAAGGUGAGGGCAACUUGUCCCCCUAGAAAUUGUCAUGACGUGGAACUCUUGACAUGAAUUGAAGUGACUUUUGUUAAGAGUUAACUAGUCAAGAUCGGGCCACAUCUGUCCAUUCAUGUCCGCCACAUCCGGCCCCUCCAAUCGGACUCCCCGGCGAAAAGAUUCACGGACACGUGGCUGGAUCUAGAAAGUCACGGGUUUGACUUGUCUUUUGUGUCACUAUCAAGAAUGUGCAUGGUCCGGACGGGCGAUUCCCGACCUAGAAUCGGGAACUGCUUGCUAAGGACCGAUUCCAAAACAUUGAAACGGAGAUCCACCAGUUAGUUGAAUGAAUCCACUUGGGAACCAGAUCGCUGAUUCAGUCCGAUUUCUAGGUGGAUCUAUGGAACCGAUCUUGACGCUAAAUAAUUUUAUUUUCAAUAUAGAACGACUACGUGAUUUCCAUAACAACAGCUGGAGAGGUUGUAGAAGGAUAUCAUGGUAGGCACUUACGAUAAUCGUGAGGAAAUGAUAGCAAUUUUGGUUAAACUUGUUUUCUAUCAUGGCUAUCAUGGGUCGAAUAAAAUUUUGCAAGCAAAUUUCGUGUCCUAGGCAUUUUUUUUCUCUUAGGUGUGAUGCUUUAAAAACCCUCUAUGUGAUGCUUAGGAACCUUUGUUUGUGAUGAAGCCUAAAGAUUUAUUCCUUGUUGUGGACUUGUUGUCCUACAUCAAAAUCUCUCAGUCAAACUUUUUUGCUUUGUUUUGGUAAGUCUGUAUAAGGUAUAUUACAGAAGUUGCAUUACGAGAUAUUUCUUCCUUAUUGUCUUUUUAGUUUAACUAAGGCCAAAUUGUUUUGGCAUUUUUCCAAGCAUUUCAUUAUGGAAUGAUGAUAAGAAGCGAUCUUGACUUAAUGCUUUUAGUUAUUUGAUUUGGAUUUAUUAAUUAGUAAUUUCAUUUUUUAAUAUUAAAAAUUAAUAUAUUAUUUUAAUAUAAUCGGUUCGGUCUAGGUGGGCGGGUAGAUAGAUCCGCUCAUGGAACUGGGAACCAGACUGGUACUCACCGGUUCCCAUAAAUUGGAAUCGAGAACCGGACCGGUUCCCUUAAAAACUACCGGUUCUGGGCGGUCCAAGCGGGUUUCGGUUAUUUUGCACAAAGAAUUAAAAAUUCAAUUUUUUUUAAAAAUAUUUUAAAAAGAAUUAUAAAAAUUUUCAUUAAAUUUGUAUUGCAUAAAAAUGUUUUAACAAUACUUUUUUUUAAAUAAAAAAAUCAUAAAAACGAGCUUUUUAAGGGUUAAUUAUUUUUUUUAUGUUAUUGUUUUUAGUUAUUCAAAGGUAUGUUUACUUCAAAUAAGGGAAGCAUGUGCAUAGUUUAAUUCUUUAUAAAUAUUUAAAUGUUUUUUUAAACUUUUCUUAUUUUAUUUUAUUUUCUAUUUUUAAUUUAAUUUGAAGAUUUAAUCUAAUUAGCAUAUAAUAGAAGUGGAUUUUCCUAAAAUAUUAAGAGGUUUUAGCAAUACGAGUUGGAUCGGGUAUGUGUCGGGUAUAUAUGAAUAUGGAUCAGAAUAAGUUAAAUAGAUCAAAUAUGAGUUCAUUCGUUUUCGACCGGACUCAAAUCCGGCUUGAUCCGGUUUCGACCCAACCCAAAUCCGACUCGAUCCACUCAUUUAACGGGUCUAGAUUGAAUUGACGUAAGCACGUGCGUCUUCGUAGCUACUGCCGCUCCCCUCCUAUAAAUCUCGGCUCGCCCGACAUCUUAGCCAUCGUCACGGUGCAGUGCAGGGAACGAGCGAGCUCGAGCUAGACGACGGCAAUGGCAGCGUCGACGACGACGGUGGGGAGGAUCAAGCUGGGGUCGCAGGGCAUGGAGGUGUCGGCGCAGGGGCUGGGCUGCAUGGGCAUGUCCAUCGGCUACGGCCCUCCCAAGCCCGACCCCGACAUGAUCGCCCUCAUCCACCACGCCGUCGGCUCCGGCGUCACCUUCCUCGACACCUCCGACAUCUACGGCCCCCACACCAACGAAAUCCUCCUCGGAAAGGUCGGUUCUCUCAGUCUCUCUUUUGCCUCCGCAUGAAUCAUACGUGCUUAUAGUGUUACGGAAUUCAGCUUCAUCGAGCAGGAUGCUCCGAUCCUGCGCCUUGGUUUUCUGAUUUCGGGGUUGAUUUUGAGCAGGCACUGAAGGGAGGGGUGAGGCAGAAGGUGGAAUUGGCGACCAAGUUCGGAGUCAGCUUCGCGGACGGGAAGAGGGAGAUCCGGGGCGAUCCGGCGUACGUGAGGGCUGCUUGCGAGGCCAGCUUGAGGCGGCUCCACAUCGAUUGCAUUGACCUCUACUACCAACAUCGCAUCGACACUCGCGUCCCCAUCGAAGUCACUGUAUGGAUCCCACAUCAAACCUUUACCUCUCUCGGGACUUUCUCCGAGUGAUCAGUUGCUAAAUUAGAAUGGUGUUGAUGAUGCAUCAUCAUCAAGAUAUCGUUAAAUGUGACUUGAGUUCAGAUGAUAGCAGAGUUCAAGAUGUGGCACGGUGUUGUUCAAGGGAUUGCGGAAUUUAGUAGUUUAUAUGGCUUGAGUUUUUGUUUUAUGGGUCAACAAGCAUGAAAAUUAUUCGAAAUCCAGGGUUCACCCUGAUUUAUAUCUGAGAAUCACAUUUGAAGUUGUUCCUGGACUUUCUGCGCAGACAUUUGGUUCUUGACUUGUCAUUGUGAAAUAUGACAAGUACUUGGAAUACUUCUUUAAUUUGCCUUCUUCUGUGAUAGAUUAGAGAGAUCCAUUUCCGUUAACGAUACCUUGCCAUUUUCUUGUUGCAUUGAGAUGCAUAAAGAUUGACUAUUUUUUGCUAGGAGCUACCUAAUCAAAUUGUAAUGUUUGAGAAGUCAGGGAACACAAACUAUUCAGGCAUCAGGACACAAGAAAAACUAAUGAUGUUCAAUAACUUCUGGAUCUUAACACGUAAGAUUUUGACGAUUGUUGUUUUGUCAUGUGAAUAUGCACAGGUUGGAGAGCUAAAGAAGCUCGUUGAAGAGGGUAAGAUAAAGUACAUCGGUUUAUCCGAGGCCUCUGCAUCAACAAUCAGAAGAGCACAUGCUGUUCAUCCCAUCACAGCAGUGCAAUUGGAGUGGUCGCUUUGGUCAAGAGAUGUGGAGGCAGAGAUCAUUCCCACGUGCAGGUAGGAUAUCACUGUUUAUUUGUUUAUGCAGUAACAACAUCUUUCUUCUGACUCUGCUCUUCCUUAAAAUGUUGACUAGGGAGCUUGGCAUUGGAAUUGUUGCCUACAGUCCUCUUGGACGAGGAUUCUUUUCUGUUGGCUCCAAGUUGGUGGAGAAUCUCUCUAAGGAUGACUUCAGACAGGUCUGUUUCUGCUGGUUAACAUAAUUAGAUGCUCACAGUUACUGUCAUUCCCAUUGAAGUGCUGGAAACCUGUUCUUAUUCUAUAAAGAAAAAGUUUGUGACACGAAUGCUUCAUAUUCUUAUUCGAUCCAGCACUUGCCAGUCAUCCCACCUCUCGUGAUUCUAGAUAAAUUUAAAAAUCACAAGUAAUGGCUUUAAUGAGCCUGAAAGGGGCAGUUUUCUGGAUUCUCGUGCUUUUGGGAAUGAACAAAUAUAGGUUUAUUUGUAAGUUGCUCCGUUUCCCAGCUUUCCCACCAUUUGCUUAUCACUAUCCUUUCCCCACUUUCCACCCGCCCUUUUUCUCUCAUAUCUCUUCACAAGAUUAGCAAUAUUUGCUCAAAAUAACCGAGACCAGUAUCGGGCCUUGGCCUCCGUCCUUUUUGUUUCUCAUCUUUCUUCACAAGAUAAAUUAUAUCUUGACACAACCAUUUCUUGAGCGAGGACUCCCUAACACCCUUCUUAUGAGAGUGUUGGGAUCAAGUUCCCAUCUGACAUAAAGCCAAUUGUGUAUUACUCCUGGCCAUUAGUGUUUGAGUAGCGAUAGUGCUGGGCAAGUGAAGUAGCUAUUUUUCUUUGUAGCUAAAUGAGCUUUGCGUCUGAUAACAUUCUUCUACACGUCAUCUACCUUUUGUGAUUUUUUUUUCUUAUGUGUGACUAAUGUUACCAUCACACGUACAAAACUUAGAUUGUCUAGUUUGUUUCUGUUUUCACUUCCUACAUCAAACCCAUCAGCCUUGUGUGGUAGUUGCUAGAUCACUUCGCUCGACGUUUCUAGUUCUUAUGAUUUGGGGCUAGGUAUUUUAAUCAUUUCAAGAUAAUCAUAACUGAUCAUGCUUUUCCAGGUACACAACAAUUGUGCACUUCUAAAUGCUUAUUAGGUCAAGUAACAAGGCAAUCUGUUGGCAUGCAAUGCGAUCACUUUUGCACCUUGCUGCUGUAGAAUUUGGCCUUAAAAGGAAAAUGAUAGUUGCUCAUAUGCUUUCUGCUGAGACAUUGCUCUAUGUUAUGCAGAACCAACCAAGGUUCCAGCCAGAGAACUUGGCUCACAACAUGAAGUUAUUUGACCGAGUGAAUGAAAUUGCGCAAAGAAAGGGAUGCACCACAUCGCAGUUAGCCCUUGCCUGGGUACACUACCAGGGUGAUGAUGUUUGCCCGAUUCCCGGCACGACCAAGAUCGAGAAUUUCAACCAGAACAUUGGAGCUCUGUCAGUGAAGCUUACACCGGAAGAGAUGGCUGAGCUCGAAUCAAUUGCUUCUGCAGACAAUGUCAAGGGUGGCAGGUACAAUGGAAACCUCUCUCCAUGGGAAAACUCCGACACUCCACCCCUUUCUUCUUGGAAACCUGCCUAGAAACAUGUCUACUUCUGUUGCUGCGUCUUUGAUAUGCAGAGUUUGUGCAUUUGCCGCUGAAGUAAUUUGAGGCUAUGUUGUGUGGCUGUUAUAAGUACGUGUAAUAAGAGAGUGACUGUUUUCGUUUUGUACAUGUGACAUUCACUAUGAGAAGAUUAUGGAUAUGUUCUAAGCUUACUGGGGAAAGAUCACCCGCUAACACGAGAGCAAGUUUUUUAUGAACCGAGCUUGCCGUGCCGACUUUAUCGGGGUGACUUUUAGAAUAUGAGAAAUUGGGAUUUUGAAGAAUUCAAACUCAGUCAUACAUACUAGAGUGAUGCUUUAUUCUCCUCCAACUAGUCUUGGUCCAGUUUCCAGAGAGAUUAGGUCGAUCCUUGGUCCUAGAAUUUCAGGACUAGCACUGUGCGGGUCGAUUCUUAGUCCUAAGAGUUCUAGGUCGGUCCAAUCCAAACCAACCUUAUAUAUAUAUAUAUAUAUUAUUUAUAAUUUUUUUAUAUAGAGAAAACCUUAAAACAAACGGCGUCAAUAACAUUAAAGAGUUAUUUAGUAAAGAGUUCAAGUAAUUUUACAUUGUUCUUUAAUAUUUUAGAUUUUUAAUGUCUUUUACGAUAUUAAUAGUCAUAAUUUACGAAGGAGGAAAUUGUUUUUGUAAGGAGUCCUCAUGAUAUCUAAAAAGGUAUAAAUGGCAUCAUUCUUUAGUAUUCGUUCUCUUUGGUUUUAUUCGUUCUCUUAAUUAUCAAUUUGCCAAAAUUGAAAGAAGCAAUCGCUCACUUUGGGUCACUCCUGCCGCUCGCCGCUUAAUGCUCGCUUGGCUUGUUGCUCCAUGCUCGAUAUUCGAUAUUUAUUCUGUUCGACGCUCACCCCACUUGACUCUCGUUGCUUGCCUUUUUUAGUUGACCUUGCUCAUCAUCGAAUCCAUUAGGUCAAUAUGGUCCUCAGUUGCUUUUUCAAGGAUUACAAAAAAUGAAAUAAAAAAUUAUUAAUUAGUCCUAAGUUGACCUUGAAACCAGACCGAACCCAUUGGGUCCGUUUGAUCUUCAAUCGCUUUUUUAAGGUGUACAAAAAAUGAAAUAAAAAAUUAUUGGUUGGUCCCGGGUUGACCCUAGAACUGGACCGAACCCAUUGGAUCAGUUCGGUCAUUGGUCCUAAGCUUAAUAGGGUUGGUUCUCGGUCCAAAAAACUGAGGACCAGCAUUGUGUGAGUUGGUCAUAGGGUUAGGGGGUGAACCGGCCCAACCUGGACCAUACUCACUCCUACCUCUAACCAUGAGUUCAAUACUAGCACCAUGUGCAACAUACUCUUAGGACUGGAUGCUACACAUAGAUACAACGCUUCGCUUUGUGUUUGGUUUCGUAGCGAAGUAAAGGAACAGUAAAAUGCUAUUGGAUGUUCUCGCGAAAAUGAAGUUUGGGAUAAAAUGUUGGCGCGGUUGAUAUGAGUGUCGAGGAAAUCGAAGGUUUCUUGUUCAAGUUUAACCACCUACGGUUCAUGAGCUUUUAUGUAGCUCAAUACCUUCGCUCAUGCCUCUGCAUUAUUAUAAAACAGUCGGAGAUAUUGCGCAAGUUUCCUAAAAUUAAAAACAACAAUUCUAUUGUUUUUUAUUUGGAGUUAGAGUGGAGCAAUGUCGUUUUGUUUUGAUUUAGGAAAAUAACGCAAAUAGUCAUUGAACUUUGGUCCAAUGUGUUAUGUUCUUAUUGAACUUUUAAUUUAUUUAGUAUGACUGUCGAACUUUUUAUACAUGUUUAAUUUAGAUCCUAGGCUAGAUAAAUCCAACGAUGCUGUGUUUGGUCGUUCGAACAUCUUUGCUGUAUGGGAUAAUGAAUGGAUGAAAAUCCCAUCUAAUAUUUCUUGACGUCUGGAUAUAGCAUGAUUCAAAAUAAAUCUUUUUUUUUUUAAAUGAGUGUUUGAUUUGUAUAAUUAAAAUUAAAAAUAAACCAUGGAAGUCGUGAAUAGUAUUCAUCCUUUCACAAUCUUCAUCGAUAUUAAACACCCCCGUUCCAUGUGACUUCAAGGACGCUCUCUCCUUCUGCAACGCCCCUUUCGCUGCCCUUGAUCAACUUGAUGGAUUACGCUCGCUCUACCUUUGACUUCGCCACAUUGAGAGGCCCUUGGGUUUGAGUUCUCCGCUGGUCUAGCCAUCUUUACUUCGAAUGCCUUUUCCUGCGAUGAAUCCAUCCCCUUCGACGAGUGCGAAUACUGCGUUGAUUCCCUGUUACCGUGCCCCGACUUGUUCAGUCGCUUCAACAGCUUCCCCCGAGACAGCGUGCGGAUCCGGUUUAUGAGUGGUAGCACCAUCGGUGCUACUCGCUCCGAGUGACGUGGUUGAAGAGCUCUAUCACCUUGGCUGCCGCCUCUUUCGGAUCAUCUUCUUCACAGAGAAGAUGUCCAGCUUUGAUCGGGAUCACAAAGUUCCCUACUAAAAUGGAGUUAAGUGACAUAAGAAAGAGGCAGGGCUGACGAGCUCCGACGCCACUUUUCCGAGGCAGCCAAAGGUGGUAAGCAGCUUGUCACUGGUAGGAGGAACGGUGGCCCUUAGACUUUGCUCAGGUCGUUGUGGCGAGGGCUUCUCUAGGUAUCUUCGCGAUACUCAUGCUCUAAGUUUGUGGUGGUCAUUUUAGUGAGAGAAAUUGAAACAAGAGAGAUGAUGCGGCACCGGUCAAAAGUGAGGAUAAGCCAUCAACAAGCGCAGGAGUGGGGGAAAAACUUGUAUCCCUUAUUUUUUUCAAUUUUCCAAAUUUCACAUAUCCUAUUUGGAUCUAUAUCACUUUCUAGAUGAGAUUUUUUAUCCGGACUAUAUCCAAAUUUCACGUUACUCUAAACACCGGAUAUGAUCAAACUUAUCAUAUCAGAGUUUUAUUCGGCCCAUCAAAGACAGACUUAUGAGAUAGAAUGCAAUGAUAUAAUCUAUGAAUUAGAUUAAACAUUUAUUAAAAGUUUAAGAAUAAUAUUUCACAUUUUGAUUGUUAGGAUGCACGAGUGAGUUAUGUUAAAACAAUCCCACAAUAUAUUGAUAGCUUUGUAAUAAGGCUUUCUCUUGGUGAUGACAUAGAUCCAUAUGGAGAAAUUAAUGGGAGGGUUUAUUUGGCCUAACUAAAUGGGAGGCUAUAUCAAUCGGAGCUUUUUCAUUGUAACAUUCCCUUGUGCUUGGUAUUUGUAUUUUAGUAAAAGGAUUUUGCUAGCAUAAUAAUCUUUGGGUUAUCAUGAGAAUAACAAUUUAUUAUGAUUUACAAAAUUUUAAAAUAGUAAACCUCAAUUCAAUUUUAAACUUUUUUUUUUCUAACUAAUUCAAUCCUAAAUAUUUUGCAUUUGUGACAAUUUAGUCUAUUCGGCCAUUUUUCGCCAAGAGGCAUUGAUGUGAACUUUGGCUGAUCGACCAAUGCUGACAUGGACAAUUUUUUUAAUAAUAUUUUAUUUUUCUUAUUUUUUAUUAAUUUUUUCUUUCUUUUUUUCUUCACUUCCUUCUCCUUCCUCCAGCCAGUCGGCAAGAGGCAAGGUUGGUGAGGGACCUUGCUGGCCUUGAGGAAGCUUGGCCAUGGUUGGGCAACCUUGCUCGUGGCUAGGCGACCUCGCCGAGGCCGCCGAUUGGGCUGGCGAGGGUUGACCCUCGUUGGCCAUAGGUCAGGACAAAGGCUGCUAGUUGGGCUUGCCCUUAUUGAAUCUGGUGAGGGUUGAGUCUCAUUGGCCAUGGGCAAGGUCAAAGGCCGCGACCUCUCGUGGUCUCUGGCGAGGCUUGCCAAAGGUUGAGCAAGGCUUACCCUCAUUGGACUGACGAGGGUUGAGCCUCGUCAGCCAAGAGCGAGAUCGUAACUUGCCCAUGGCCGGUGAGGCUCGCCUAGGCCAAAGACAGGCGGGGCCUUGCCUAACCAUGGCAAGGGUGGCCUCACCAUUGUUGGGUGAGGCUAGCCCUUGCCAGUGGCGUGUGGGGGUAAGCCUUGCCAUUGGUUGGCAAGGCUGACUUCACUGGCUUGAAUAAAAUAAAAUAUUAUUAAAAGAUUAUUCACAUCAAUAUUAGCCGAACGAGUGGUGCUCGUCGGCCAAAAUUGGCCGGAUGAAUUGAAUUAGUAUAAUUGCAAAAUGUUUAGGACUGAAUUGGCUAGAAAAAAAAAAGAUUUUAAGACUAAAUUAGAAAAAUUGCAAUAAGUUUAUGAUUGUUUUGGUAAUUUUUUCGUAUAAUAACCCUAGUAAAGAUGACUCACUUAAUUUGAGCGUCAAUAAAUCAAAGGUCACUUGUUUAGUUCUCACAACUUAUUUGUAAAUCACUUUAGAAGUGCAAAUCCAAUCAAUUUAUGAGCUUGCAAAAUGAGUCUCUAGAUAAACCAACUUUUGUAUUCGUGCUUCAGGAUUAUAAUAAAAUAUUAGAGGUUUUCAUCAGUGUAUCAUGAUAGGCUAGAUAGGGCGUUUUCUUUUGCACUUGUCAUACAUGAUCAUUUUGUAUCCUUUGAACUCAUGUUAUUUGUUGGUACUAGGUUGAGUGGUAAUAUGAUCUCCUACCUUAUACUUAGAUAUUUCAUUUAUUAGGCUUCGCCUCACUCCUUUUUUUCUUUUUUUUUCUUUUUUGUUGUAGGAUGAUUCCCCUAAAGAUGGUGACGGAGGGGCCGAGUUGAUAUCGGAAGCCAUUAAUCCUUGAGUUGGAUGGUAGUUUAGUUAGUAUGGAUGUAAUGGUAUUAGGUGACCCCGAUCUUUCCUAGGACUAUAAAAUUUUUUGUGAUAAUUACUAUCGAUAUUGUAUAAAGCCAAAGACACUUUUUUUUUUAAUAAACUCAUGCAUUUUUCUAGUAAAGGAUGUUGUGAAAACUUUAUUGUCUUUUCCAUGCGUAAUUAUAACUAUGAGUAUAAAUGGAAAUGACAUGUGCCGCAUGUGAUGUUCCAAGGCGUCACAUAAUCCCCAACACUCAAAUUAGGGUCCAUUAAGGCAGUGCUUAAAACUAUGAUGCUCAAGUUCUAUUCGGCAGCACUUAGGCUCGGGUCCAACAAGAUCGUGUGUCAGUCCUCAAUGCUCGGGCUCGGCUCGUUAGUUAAUAAAAUGUUGUUCUUAUAAAAAUAAUUCUUUUUAUUUUCAUUUUAUAUUCAUUUGUUUUCUUUCUUUUUCUUUCUCCUUCUUCUUGGCUGGUUGCCGACCAUGAUGACGAUUGCGCCUGAGAACAAGCGAGAGAUGAGCUAGCCCAAGGCCAAGAAGACUUGAGAUUGCUGAUUUGGCAAGCUUGAAGUUGGUUGAUCAAGUGACGCUAAAGCUCCCUAGCGUUGGGCAACCUCGAGUUUCACCUCAUGGCUAGUCGCCAACUACCACCGUGGCGAGCGAUCGGUUGAGGAAGAAGAAAAAUAAAAAUAAAAUUAAAAGAGAAAAUAACUAAAAAUCUGAAUAUUUUGGCAUUUUCUAUAGGGAAAUCAAAUCGAAAAAAUAUUUUCUAGUUUAUCUUUAGGACUUAACCAAAUAUUGGAAAUAUUAUUCAGAUAUGUCAUAUUUUUUGCGAAACAAACGGUGCGUAAAUAUUUAGAUUUGAUAAUUGUCCAUGUUAAUUAGGUACACAUUAUCUCACUCUUUGUUUCGUUGCCGAACUGAUGCUAAUCUCUAGACGAAGCUUGACUAGUCUCAACUCAAUAGGCGGCUUGACUUUUGCGCUUCCUUUUCUUCUUUUCUUUUUUCUUUUUAACUCAAAACACUCAAAACUUUCCUGGUACACGACUGUCGUCGUGUUACAAUCACUUUCAAUAAUGAUGGCCAUCCGAGCAAGAUGAGGGCGACUGGUCCCCCUAGAAAUUGUCAUGACGUUUGACUUUCAUGAAUUGAAAUGACUUUUCUCUGUCAAGGAGAAAAAUAGUUAACUAGUCAAGAUCGUGCCACAUCUCUCCAUCCAUGUCCUCCACAUCCGGCCCCACCAAUCGGACUCCCCGACAAAAAAAAUCGAGGACACGUGGCUGGAUCUAGAAAGUCACAGGUUCGACUUGUCUACUGUUAUCACUGUCCUUUUGCAAUAAUUUUUUUACACCCGUCUAGCUGUUGUGAGCUCCUCUGACAUACUAAUUGUGUGGAUAUGGUGAACUUGGGACCUUCUAUAAUCUGUCCAUAUUAAAAAUUUAAAAUGGACAAAUUCCGCCUCUCAUUGUGGAAUUCCACCCACAUUUCUCGCAAACUUUCAAACAUUAGUUCCAGGUCGUGCAUUCCAAUUGAGCCUUGUCUGGUCAAAUAUCAAAGUACUCUAGAGAAAAAUUUUAAAAAAAAUUGUAAAAAAGAGAGAGAAGGAAAACGAUUCAGCCUUAUAAUAACUUGCUAGGAACCACGUAGUUAAUUAGAGCAUCAAGAAAUUAGAGGUAGCUUGUGUAGUUCUCGCAAGUUACUUGUAAAUUGCUUUAGAAGUACAAACUUAAUUGAUUUAUGAGCUUGCACCAUAUUUUAUGAGUUUCUGAAUAACCAACUUUUGUAUUCAUGCAACUCACUCCGCUGUGACUGAGUUGGUUCGGACGUUCCCUCCUCUUCCAAUUGGGGGGAGGUUUGAGUCACCACGAUUGCAUUUGCGCAACUUAAGUGCGGCGCCAUGAGAGGUGGGUCCCCGUGCUAGCGUCACCGUGGGUUUACGUCGCCAGCUGCCGGUUGUACGGCGAUUCUCAAGUCAUAAAAAAAAAAGAAAAAAGAAAAUUUGUAUUCAUGCUUGUAGAUUAUAAUAAAAUAAUUGGUUGUGGUGGGCAAUUGAGAGUGACACCGUUUUCGCCUUUUAUUUUUUGUAAUAUGUGAAGUGUUGUUCUGUUUUUUGUUUUCGUCACCCUCCCACUUGUGCUAUAUUUGUUAGGUCUCCUCGCCAGGAGUUCGUCACUUUAUGUUAUUGACCUCUUAAUUAAAUACAACAAUACCUUCAAGGACUGCUCUUCAUAAAGGCGCGGAUUGGACGGCCGGUGACCGAGAUAGCAGCCUCCGCCCCUCCCUCGGUCUUGCCCUUUGCAUAACUUUUAGAAAACAUGCGUGAUUAGAGGAUCAAUAGUGACUUAAUUCUAACCCGUAUCGAUGUUACCCGUUUAGCAUCUCUUAGUAAAUGUAAAUAUUGUACGCGGAUGACAGCAUUUUGAAGAAUUUACAAUUGGUGUUCUUUUAUUAAAUAUGGUUGAUAUCAUGAAAAAUCUUAGAUUGAUACAUUUGCGACAAACUUAUCCCAAACUAUUUUUUUUACACAAAAACCGUAAACUAGUAUAUUUGUAAUUUUACCUAAAACUAUUUUUUUUUAUCGUCAAAAACCUCAAACUGAUAUAUUUGUAGCAAAAUUACUCUUUACUAACUAGUGUUAAAUUAUACUAAUAUGAAUUGGUACAUCUAUGACAAACGAAGGGUAAAAUCCUAAAUUGGUACACUCAUUAACUAUCAUAUGUCAUUUAACUCAGUAAUUUAAUAGUACAAUUUAAGGGAAAUUAACGGAGGGUCAAUUUGUCAUAGGUGUAUCGGUAUGAGAUUUUUGAUAGCAAAUGUAGGAGUUUUACAUGGUAUUAAACUCUAUUGCAUAUGAUCAAAAGUCCUAGUUUCUACUAUUUUUGUCGACACAAUACCUUAAAAAACCUCAAACUUAAGCUCUGAUCCUAAUUCUAUCUUUUGUGUUAUAAGACCUCCAACUUUAGAUCAUGUCCCAAUUCCACCCUAACAUACAUAUUUUAGAAAACCCCAUAUUUUAGUUAUAGUCCCAAUCUUAUCUAAACAUCUGUUAUCUCAUAAAAUCCCUCAAAUUUAGGUCAAGUACCAAUUCCAACCUAAACGUUAUUUUGUCUUAUAAAAAGAAUCCUAGCUUUAGGUCCAAUUUCAUUUUCACUUUUUUUUUUUAUCUCAUAAAAGAUUACCAACUUUUACUUGAGUCCCAAAUCCACUCUCCAUUAACCCUCCAUCAAAAUUGCCCUUAGUGAUUUUGUGCUCGGUUUUUGAUCUCGCGUGCUUGGAAAUAUUUCAUUUCUCUUGAACAACUUGUGCUUGAGGGUUUUCCAUCUCUCGAUGUCAGCAGGAAAUUUUGCACGAAGGGUUAAUGGUGGCAAAUAUGCGACUCAAGUAAAAAUUUAUAGUUUUUUCAUCAGACUAUAAAAAUUUUACGGUAAUAUUGAGAGUGGAUAGGCUUUUCAUAAGACAAGAAAAGGUUUAAGGUAGAAUUAGUAUAUUAUUUAAAAUUGAAUUGUGAAUGGCUAUAAAAUUAGUGAUUUUUUUUAUGAGAUAAAAGGUAAAAUUAGGAGAAAAGCUAAAGUUAGAGAGUUUUUUUUAGGGUAUCAAACCUAUUUUUGUCAAUCAUAUGAUGUCAACAUUAUCUUUGUUUUUGUUUUUCUUUCAAUUGUCCAUUUGGUCGGUUCUUUUCUAUUCUUAUUCUCAAACUUUUGCCUUGACUCAUUACAAGUGUGAGAAUUGAAACCACAUUUGAUACUAUAUUGUCCCCCGGUAGGCAUUCAAAACCCCCAUCUCCCGCUUCUCAUGUAAGUUAUGAAUGGAGCCUUCGUGUCGUGUCCGACACGCUCGAAGAUGCGGUCAAUACGUGUUCGAAAUCCGACACGUGAACAAUUCUUAUUGACACAUUCUAACACACAAGUCCGAGAGAGAGGAUCGUUGAAGAAAACAAUGGCAAGGGAGCGAAGGCAACGGCAAGGCCACGACGGUGAGAGAGGGCUAGAGGAAGAGUAGAGACCGAGAUGACCUAAAGAGAGGAUCGUGACUGCAAUGGAGGGCCGGUGGCGAGACUGCACCUAUGUAGGAGGAAGGGUUGGAGGUGAGGCGGCAAGCGAUUAUGACAAGGCAAUCAAGAGAGAGAAGAGAUUGAGAGGUGGAUGGUCGUGCGAGGAGGAGGGGAAGGCCAGGGCUAGGGUUUUUGAAGGGGGAAAAUCAAAAAAUUAAAAACAUGAUUUUGAUGGGACAUUAGGGUUGUGCAAGGAGGAGGGGAAGGCCAGGGCUAGGGUUUUUGAAGGGGAAAACUCAAAAAAAUUAAAAACAUGAUUUUGAUGGGACAUUGCUGUGAUUUCUCCUUUAUGGAGAGGGGGAGCGUGUCGGGAGGUGGAGGGGGAGGGCAGAUAAAUGAGGGAAAGAUGAGUGAAAUAAGUUUGUUGGGGGCACAAAAGGAGGGGUUGGUAGGACCUGAGCAAGUCCUUAGACUGCUCCGUCUGGUCGGAAAUAGCCCACGGACGUAAAAUGUGGGCAAUGUUAAUCGUGGGAGAUCAGACCACCCUGUGUAAGGAUCUCCUGGCUCAGAUUCCCGCGAUGCCUUUCUCCUAACAUAUUAGGCUGGGUACAGGAAAAUGAUGAGUGAAAUAAGUUUGUUGGGGGGGGGGGGCACAAAAGGAGGGGUUGGUAAGGGUUGGCAUGGACCCCAUGGAUUUUUAUUUUUUUUUAAUCAAAAAAAUAAAUAAGGAAGGCCAGAAAGUGGGGGAAGAAACUAUGGAAAGAGAGUGAAGUAAAUGUGGGGGUGAGGGUUGGGGUGGACCACGGGGGUCUUUUCUUAUCAGAAAAAUAAAUAAGAAAAACUAUAAGGUGAUUUCGGAAAAUGAAAGUGUUGAAUGUUGAAUAAUAAUAAAAUUUGAUAAUUGUAAAAGAUUAUAGAUUUAUUUAAAUAAGUUAAUUCUAAUUUUUCUUAAUCAUUAGUUUUAUCAAUAAUUUUUGUUAGAGUUAGAAAUAUGUUCGUAUGGAUGCUAUAUGGCAUAUGGAAAGGGUGGCCUCACUUCUGGCGUUUCAUGUAUGGAAAGAGUGAUUAUUAAUGGCGCAUUUGGUAACGUUUUUGUUUCGGAGGACAAUUUUUGAAUAGAAAUAGUUUUUUUUUUUGUUCUAGGGAAUAAUUUUUGAGUAUAAGAAUGUGUUUGGUAACUGCAAACAAUUUCUACUCUAAAAAUAGAAACGCGCUUGGUAAACUUGUAUAAUUUCUUUGUUUCUUUUAAUUUUUUAAUAUUUUUAAUAUUUUUUUUCUUUUUUUCUUUUUUCUUUUUCUCUUUGGUCGGUUGCUGGCUAUGGCGAUGUCCGUUGAGCCUUGUCCAGGCAACGCGAGGUUCGCCUCGUGCCGAUUGGGGAGGUCAAGGCCUCUUGGCUUUGUCUGGGCUAAGCGAGGUUGACCUUGCCCAGCCACCGGCGAGACUCGGCCUCGCUGGGCCACCGCUAGGCGACUCUGUCCUGGAGGUGGCUCGGCGAGGUCGAGCCUCAUGCGGCCAUGGCGAGGCUCGGCCUCUCUGGGGGCUAGCGACACUCCGGCGAGGUCGUCGGCUCUCGUCUAGCCAGUUGCCGGUGUCAACUAUGGCUAAGGCUGAUGACNNNNNNNNNNNNNNNNNNNNNNNNNNNNNNNNNNNNNNNNNNNNNNNNNNNNNNNNNNNNNNNNNNNNNNNNNNNNNNNNNNNNNNNNNNNNNNNNNNNNCGUCUGGUCGAAAACAGCCCAUGGACGUAAAAUGUGGGCAAUGUUAAUCGCGGGAGAUCGGACCACCCUGUGUAAGGAUCUCUCGGUUCAGAUUCCCGCGAUGCCCUUCUCCUAACGUAUUAGACUGGGUACAGGAAAAUGACGAGUGAAAUAAGUUUGCUGGGGGCACAAAAGGAGGGGUUGGUAAGGGUUGGCAUGGACCCCAUGGACUUUUAUUUUUUUAUCAGAAAAAUAAAUAAGGAAGGCUAGAAAGUGGGGGAAGAAACUAUGGAAAGAGAGUGAAGUAAAUGUGGGGGUGAGGGUUGGGGUGGACCACGGGGGUCUUUUCUUAUCAGAAAAAUAAAUAAGAAAAACUAUAAGGUGAUUUCGGAAAAUGAAAGUGUUGAAUGUUGAAUAAUAAUAAAAUUUGAUAAUUGUAAAAGAUUAUAGAUUUAUUUAAAUAAGUUAAUUCUAAUUUUUCUUAAUCAUUAGUUUUAUCAAUAAUUUUUGUUAGAGUUAGAAAUAUGUUCGUAUGGAUGCUAUAUGGCAUAUGGAAAGGGUGGCCUCACUUCUGGCGUUUCAUGUAUGGAAAGAGUGAUUAUUAAUGGCGCAUUUGGUAACGUUUUUGUUUCGGAGGACAAUUUUUGAAUAGAAAUAGUUUUUUUUUUUGUUCUAGGGAAUAAUUUUUGAGUAUAAGAAUGUGUUUGGUAACUGCAAACAAUUUCUACUCUAAAAAUAGAAACGCGCUUGGUAAACUUGUAUAAUUUCUUUGUUUCUUUUAAUUUUUUAAUAUUUUUAAUAUUUUUUUUCUUUUUUUCUUUUUUCUUUUUCUCUUUGGUCGGUUGCUGGCUAUGGCGAUGUCCGUUGAGCCUUGUCCAGGCAACGCGAGGUUCGCCUCGUGCCGAUUGGGGAGGUCAAGGCCUCUUGGCUUUGUCUGGGCUAAGCGAGGUUGACCUUGCCCAGCCACCGGCGAGACUCGGCCUCGCUGGGCCACCGCUAGGCGACUCUGUCCUGGAGGUGGCUCGGCGAGGUCGAGCCUCAUGCGGCCAUGGCGAGGCUCGGCCUCUCUGGGGGCUAGCGACACUCCGGCGAGGUCGUCGGCUCUCGUCUAGCCAGUUGCCGGUGUCAACUAUGGCUAAGGCUGAUGACUGGCAAAAGGAAGAAGAAGAAGAAGAAGAAGAAGAAAAGAAAGAGAAAAUAGAAGAAGAAAAAUGAUAAGAAAAAAAAGUGUUUUUCGAAAGUGUUCUCGAGAAUAAGAAAUAAGUUUUUUUUUUUAAUUUCUUAUUUUUGUUCCAAAGUUGCUCUCACAAUAAAAAAAAAAGACCAGAAUAAAAGUAUAAACAAAUGAGUUUCUAUUCUUUUUUGGUUCUCUGGAACAAAAUAAUAAAAAUUUAUAUUCCAGGAAAAAAAAAUAAUUUUAAACGAACACACCCUAAGAUAUCUUUUGUAUUCCGGGGAAGUAGUUCAAUUGACGUGAGCCCGUGCGUCUUCCCUACAUGGGAAGGGUCGUCACUGGGUCUCAUCUGACCUAAGCAAGUGCGUCUUCACAGCUUUUACCGCUCCCCUCCUACACUUCGUAGCUACCGCCACUCCCCUCCUAUAAAUCUCGGCUCGCCCGACGCCUUCGCCAUCGUCUCGGUGCAGUGCAGGGAACGAGCGAGCUCGAGCUAGACGACGGCAAUGGCGGCUUCGACGACGACGGUGAGGAGGAUCAAGCUGGGGUCGCAGGGCCUCGAGGUGUCGGUGCAGGGGCUGGGCUGCAUGGGCAUGUCCGCCUUCUACGGCCCUCCCAAGUCCGACACCGACAUGAUCGCCCUGAUCCACCACGCCGUUGGCUCCGGCGUCACCUUCCUCGACACCUCCGACAUCUACGGCCCCCACACCAACGAAACCCUCCUCGGAAAGGUCGGUUCUCUCUCAGUCUCUGUUUUGCCUCCGCAUGAAUUAUAUGUGCUUAUAGUGUUACGGAAUUUAGCUUCAUCGAGCAGAGUGCUCUGAUCCUGCGCCUUGGUUUUCUGAUUUCGGGGUUGAUUUUGAGCAGGCACUGAAGGGAGGGGUGAGGCAGAAGGUGGAAUUGGCGACCAAGUUCGGAAUCAGCUUCGCGGACGGGAAGAGGGAGGUCCGGGGCGAUCCGGCGUACGUGAGGGCGGCUUGCGAGGCCAGCUUGAAGCGGCUUGACAUCGAUUGCAUCGACCUCUACUACCAACAUCGCAUCGACACUCGCGUCCCCAUCGAAGUCACUGUAUGGAUCCCCCAUCAAACUUUCACCUCGCUUGAGACUUUCUCCGAGCCAUAUGAUUAGUUGCUAAGUUAGAUUGGUGUUGAUGAUGCAUCGUCAUGUUGUUACAAGUUUGUUGAAAUUUGUUAAAUGACACUUAAGUUCGGCUGAUAGCAGAGUUCAAGAUGCGGCACGUUGUUGUUCAAGGGGUUGUGGAAUUUAGUAGUUUAGUGGCUUGAGUUUUCGUUUUGUGGGCAUCUUUUACAAGUUAAGGGUCAACAAGCAUGAAAAUUAUUCAAAAUCUUCCUUUGAGAUGAAAGUGCUCCAGGGUUCAUCCAGAAUUUAUAUACGGGAAUCACAUAUAAAGUUGUUCCUGGACUUUAUGUGGAGACAUUUGAUUCUUGACAUAUUGUGAAAUAUGACAAGUACUUGGAAUACUUCUUUUAUUUGCUCUCUUCUGUGAGAGAUUCAAGAAAUCAACCUCCGUUAACUCAAUACCUUGUGACUUUUUUGUCGCAUUGAGAUGCAUGAUAAUAGAGGGAUCUAGACGCAUAAAAAGCUAAUGACAUGCAUAAUUUUCUGGAUCUUAACAUGUAAGAUCUUGAUGUUGUUGUUCUGUCAUGUGAAUAUGCACAGAUCGGAGAGCUAAAGAAGCUCGUUGAAGAAGGUAAGAUAAAGUACAUCGGUUUAUCCGAGGCCUCUGCAUCAACAAUCAGAAGAGCACAUGCUGUUCAUCCCAUCACAGCAGUGCAAUUGGAGUGGUCGCUUUGGUCAAGAGAUGUGGAGGCAGAGAUCGUUCCAACGUGCAGGUAGGAUAUCACUCUGUUAAUUGUUUAUGCAGCAACAACAGCUUCCUUCUGACUCUGCUUUUCCUUUAAAAUGCUGACUAGGGAGCUUGGCAUUGGAAUUGUUGCCUACAGUCCUUUAGGACGAGGAUUCUUUUCUGUUGGCUCCAAGUUGGUGGAGAAUAUCUCUAAGGAUGACUUCAGACAGGUCUGUUCCUGCUUGUCAACAUAAUUAGAUGUUUACAUUGACUGUCAUUCUUAUUGAAGUGCUGGAAACCUGUUCUUGUGGUAUAAAGAAAAAGUAUCUGGAUGGGAUGAAUAAAACUUGGUGACACGAAUGCUUCGUGUUCUUAUAUGUCUUUAAUCCAGCACUUGCCAGACAUCCCACCUCUCUUGAUUCUAGAUAAAUGUAAAAUCACAAGUAACGGCUUUAAUGAGCCUGAAAGAGGCAGUUUCCUGGAUUCUCGUGCUUUUGGGAAUGAAUACAUAUAGGUUUAUAUGUAAGUUGCUCUGUUUCCCAGCCUUCCCAACAUUUGCUUAUCACUAUCCUUUCCCCACUUUCCACCCACCCUUUUUCUCUCAUCUUUCUUCACAAGAAUAGCGAUAUUUCCUCGAAAUAACUGACGCCAGUAUCGGGCUUUGGCCCUCCGUCCUUUUUCAUUCUCAUCUUUCUUCACAAGAUAAACUAUAUCUUGACACAACCAUUUCUUGAGCGCGGACUCCCGACACCCUUCUUAUGAGAGUUUUGGAUCAAGUUCCCAUCUGACAUAAAGCCAAUUGUGUAUUACUCCCCGCCAUUAGCGUUUGACUAGCGAUAGUGCUGGGCAAGUGAAGUAGCUAUUUUUCUUUGUAGCUAAAAGAGCUCUGCGUCUGAUAACAUUCUUCUACUCAUCAUCUACAUUUCUGAUUUUUUAUUUUAUGUGACUAAUGGUAUCAUCACACGUACAAAACUUAGAUUGUCGAGUUUGUUUCUGUUUUCACAUCCUACAUCAAGCCCAUCAGCCUUGUGUGGUAGUUGCUAGAUCACUUCGCUUGACGUUUCUAAUGCUUAUGAUUUGGGACAUGAUAUUUUAAUCAUUUCAAGAUAAUUUAUAACUGAUCAUGCUUUUUCAGAUACACAACGAUUGCACACUUCUAAAUGCUUAUUAUGUCAAGUAACAAGACAAUCCGAUGGCAUGCAAUGCAACCACUUUUGCACUUGUUGCUGUAGAAUUUAGCCUUAAGAGGAAAAUGAUAAUUUCUCAUAUGCUCUCUGCUGAGACAUUGCUCUAUGUUAUGCAGUAUCUACCAAGGUUCCGGCCAGAGAACUUGGCUCACAACACGAAGUUAUUUGACCGAGUGAAUGAAAUUGCGCAAAGAAAGGGAUGCACCACAUCGCAGUUAGCCCUGGCCUGGGUACACCACCAGGGUGACGACAUUUGCCCGAUUCCCGGCACAACCAAGAUCGAGAAUUUCAACCAGAACAUUGGAGCUCUGUCAGUGAAGCUUACACCGGAAGAGAUGGCCGAGCUUGAAUCGAUUGCUUCUGCGGACAAUGUCAAGGGUGGCAGGUACGAUGGAAGCAUGUCUACAUGGGAAAACUCCGACACUCCACCCCUUUCUUCUUGGAAACCUGCCUAGAAGCGUGUCUGCUUCUGUUGCUGCAUCUUUGAUGUGCAGAGGUUGAGCAUUUGCCGCUGAAGUAAUUUGAGUUUAUGUUGUGUGGCUGUUAUAAGUAUGUGUAAUAAGAGAGUGACUGUUUUCAUUUUGUACAUGUGACAUUCACUAUGAUAAGAUUAUGGAUGUGUACUAACCUUACUGGGGAAAGAUCACUCGAUAAACACGAGAGCGAGUUGAAUACGAACUGAGCCUGCCGUGUCGACUUUAUUGGGGUGACUUUUAGAAUCUGAGAAAUCGGGAUUUUGAAGAAUUCAAACUCAGUCGUACAUACUAGAGUGGUAUUCUCCACCAACCAUGAGUUCAAUCUCUUAAGACUGGAUGCUGCACAUAGAUGCAAAGCUUCGCUUUGUGUUUG